GACCUAGUUCGCUGAUGACGACCGGCGCACGGGUGAGUAACGCGUACGCAACCUGCCCUUAACAGCGGGAUAGCCCCGGGAAACUGGGAUAAUAUCGCAUAGAUAUACACACUAUCGCCUGAUAGAGUAUAUAAAGCUUCGGCGGUUAAGGAUGGGCGUGCGUCUGAUUAGGUAGUUGGUGAGGUAACGGCUCACCAAGCCGACGAUCAGUAGGGGGCGUGAGAGCGUGAUCCCCCACACGGGUACUGAGACACGGACCCGACCCCUACGGGAGGCAGCAGUAAGGAAUAUUGGUCAAUGGGCGCGAGCCUGAACCAGCCAUCCCGCGUGCAGGAUGACGGCCCUACGGGUUGUAAACUGCUUUUAUUAGAGAAGAAACGCCUUGAUUUAUCGGGGCCUGACGGUAUCUAAUGAAUAAGCACCGGCUAACUCCGUGCCAGCAGCCGCGGUAAUACGGAGGGUGCAAGCGUUAUCCGGAAUCACUGGGUUUAAAGGGUGCGUAGGCGGUAUAGUAAGUCAGAGGUGAAAGGCUGCAGCUCAACUGUGGAAUUGCCUUUGAUACUGUUAUACUUGAAUCAGGUUGAGGCAGGCGGAAUGCGGCAUGUAGCGGUGAAAUGCAUAGAUAUGUCGUAGAACACCGAUUGCGAAGGCAGCUUGCUGGGACCUGUAUUGACGCUGAGGCACGAAAGCGUGUGGUGUAUCGUACAGUAUUAGAUUACCCUGGUAGUUAACGCCCUUAACGUUGUUAACUUCGAUUUGUGGCCCUUGAGGUCUGCGUCCAAGGUGAAUACCGUUUAAGUUAGCCACCUGGGGAGUUACGUUCGCAAGAAUUGAAACUCAAAGGAAUUGACGUGGGGUCCGCACAAGCGGUGGAGCAUGUGGUUUAAUUCGAUGAUACGCGAGGAACCUUACCUGUGCUCGAACGCUUACCGGCUAGCUUCUGAAAGGAAGUUUUCCUUCGGGACUGGUAGUGAGGUGCUGCAUGGUUGUCGUCAGCUCGUGCCGUGAGGUGUUGGGUUAAGUCCCGCAACGAGCGCAACCCUUAUCCCUAGUUGCCAGCACGUAAAGUUGGGACUUCUAGUGAGACUGCCGCGUCAAGCCGCGAGGAAGGUGGGGAUGACGUCAAAUCAUCAUGGCCUUUAUGCCCAGGGCUACACACGUGCUACAAUGGCGCAUACAACGGGUAGCGAAGCCGCGAGGUGGAGCCAAUCCAAUAAAGUGCGUCCCAGUUCGGAUUGGAGUCUGCAACCCGACUCCAUGAAGGUG
Molecule: ribosomal RNA, 1266 nt
Filed under: uncultured organism
Description: bacterial SSU rRNA
Rfam family: Bacterial small subunit ribosomal RNA
Source: RNAcentral